This 221-nucleotide long non-coding RNA is filed under the name Lupinus angustifolius (narrow-leaved blue lupine). Its description in RNAcentral is "long non-coding RNA (LANG_LNC000418)". The record is from RNAcentral. Lineage: Eukaryota; Viridiplantae; Streptophyta; Magnoliopsida; Fabales; Fabaceae.
AAUUACAAAUAAUUACACAAAAGUGGGAUAUUACAUCACUUAGUUUUGCCUUGAACUUUGUCCAACUUCGGUACUUCUAAAAGGGCAUUUCUUCCUAUUGUGUCCUUCACUCCUACACCACCCACAUUUUUUAGUUUGUUGGGACUGAGAAUCAUCCAUUUCAUUGUGUAUACGUGUAGUUUUUGGUCUUCCAGUACGGUUCCUACGCAUAAGGGGAUUAG